Molecule: ribosomal RNA, 468 nt
Filed under: uncultured bacterium
Lineage: Bacteria
Description: partial 16S ribosomal RNA
Rfam family: Bacterial small subunit ribosomal RNA
Source: RNAcentral
GACGAACGCUGGCGGCGCGCCUAACACAUGCCAGUCGAACGGAGCUGCGAGAAGCUUGCUUUUCUUAGCUUAGUGGCGAACGGGUGAGUAACGCGUGAGUAACCUGCCCUGGAGUGGGGGACAACAGUUGGAAACGACUGCUAAUACCGCAUAAGCCCACGAUCCGGCAUCGGAUUGAGGGAAAAGGAUUUAUUCGCUUCAGGAUGGACUCGCGUCCAAUUAGCUAGUUGGUGAGGUAACGGCCCACCAAGGCGACGAUUGGUAGCCGGACUGAGAGGUUGAACGGCCACAUUGGGACUGAGACACGGCCCAGACUCCUACGGGAGGCAGCAGUGGGGGAUAUUGCACAAUGGGGGAAACCCUGAUGCAGCGACGCCGCGUGGAGGAAGAAGGUUUUCGGAUUGUAAACUCCUGUCGUUAGGGACGAUAAUGACGGUACCUAACAAGAAAGCACCGGCUAACUACGUG